GACGAACGCUGGCGGCGUGCUUAACACAUGCAAGUCGAACGGACAGGCCCUGCUUGCAGUGUGCUCGCGUGGCGAACGGGUGAGUAACACGUAGGUGGUCUGCCCCUCUCUUUGGGUUAAGCCUCGGAAACUGGGUCUAAUACUUGAUAGGUCCUUGCUGUAGGCGCAGUGGUGGAUAGUGUAGUUCCGGUGUGUGAUGAACUUGCGGACUAUCAGCUUGUUAGUGGGAUAUUGGCAUAGCAAGGCGUCGACGGGUAGCCGGCCCGUGAGAGUGGAGAGCCACACUGGGACUGUGAGACAGGCCAGACUACUACAGGAGGCAGCAGGGGGGAAUGCUGGACAAAGGACGGAAGCCUGAUGCAGCGAGGCCGCGUGGGGGAUGACGGCCGUCAGGUUGUAAACACAUUUCAGCCAGGAAGAAGGCUUCGGGUGACGGUAGUGAUAGAAGAAGCACCGGCUAACUACGUG
This 468-nucleotide ribosomal RNA is filed under the name uncultured bacterium. RNAcentral describes it as "partial 16S ribosomal RNA". It matches the Rfam family "Bacterial small subunit ribosomal RNA", at positions 28 to 507 of the family's 1533-position model. The record is from RNAcentral.